AUUAGGCAAAUCCGGUACUCGUUAAGGCUGAGCUGUGAUGGGGAGAAGACAUUGUGUCUUCGAGUCGUUGAUUUCACACUGCCGAGAAAAGCCUCUAGAUAGAAAAUAGGUGCCCGUACCGCAAACCGACACAGGUAGUCAAGAUGAGAAUUCUAAGGUGAGCGAGCGAACUCUCGUUAAGGAACUCGGCAAAAUGACCCCGUAACUUCGGGAGAAGGGGUGCUCUUUAGGGUUAACGCCCAGAAGAGCCGCAGUGAAUAGGCCCAAGCGACUGUUUAUCAAAAACACAGGUCUCUGCUAAACCGUAAGGUGAUGUAUAGGGGCUGACGCCUGCCCGGUGCUGGAAGGUUAAGAGGAGUGGUUAGCUUCUGCGAAGCUACGAAUCGAAGCCCCAGUAAACGGCGGCCGUAACUAUAACGGUCCUAAGGUAGCGAAAUUCCUUGUCGGGUAAGUUCCGACCCGCACGAAAGGCGUAACGAUUUGGGCACUGUCUCAACGAGAGACUCGGUGAAAUCAUAGUACCUGUGAAGAUGCAGGUUACCCGCGACAGGACGGAAAGACCCCGUGGAGCUUUACUGUAGCCUGAUAUUGAAAUUCGGCACAGCUUGUACAGGAUAGGUAGGAGCCUUUGAAACGUGAGCGCUAGCUUACGUGGAGGCGCUGGUGGGAUACUACCCUAGCUGUGUUGGCUUUCUAACCCGCACCACUUAUCGUGGUGGGAGACAGUGUCAGGCGGGCAGUUUGACUGGGGCGG
RNAcentral lists this ribosomal RNA (754 nucleotides) under Staphylococcus aureus. Its description in RNAcentral is "partial 23S ribosomal RNA". It matches the Rfam family "Bacterial large subunit ribosomal RNA", at positions 1531 to 2282 of the family's 2925-position model. The record is from RNAcentral. Lineage: Bacteria; Bacillati; Bacillota; Bacilli; Caryophanales; Staphylococcaceae.